AACGAACGCUGGCGGCAUGCCUAACACAUGCAAGUCGAACGCCCUCUUCGGAGGGAGUGGCGCACGGGUGCGUAACGCGUGGGAACCUGCCCUUAGGUUCGGAAUAACUCAGAGAAAUUUGAGCUAAUACCGGAUAAUGUCUUCGGACCAAAGAUUUAUCGCCUUUGGAUGGGCCCGCGUUGGAUUAGCUAGUUGGUGGGGUAAAGGCCUACCAAGGCGACGAUCCAUAGCUGGUCUGAGAGGAUGAUCAGCCACACUGGGACUGAGACACGGCCCAGACUCCUACGGGAGGCAGCAGUGGGGAAUAUUGGACAAUGGGCGAAAGCCUGAUCCAGCAAUGCCGCGUGAGUGAUGAAGGCCUUAGGGUUGUAAAGCUCUUUACUGGGGAUGAUAAUGACAGUACCCAGAGAAUAAGCUCCGGCUAACUCCGUGCCAGCAGCCGCGGUAAAGUGACUACUG
RNAcentral lists this ribosomal RNA (459 nucleotides) under uncultured bacterium. RNAcentral's name for it is "bacterial SSU rRNA". It matches the Rfam family "Bacterial small subunit ribosomal RNA", at positions 29 to 534 of the family's 1533-position model. The record is from RNAcentral.